CAGUCGCCACGGGAAUACGUAGGGUGCAAGCGUUAAUCGGAAUUACCGGGCGUAAAGCGUGCGCAGGCGGUUUUGUAAGACAGAGGUGAAAUCCCCGGGCUCAACCUGGGAACUGCCUUUGUGACUGCAAGGCUAGAGUACGGCAGAGGGGGAUGGAAUUCCGCGUGUAGCAGUGAAAUGCGUAGAUAUGCGGAGGAACACCGAUGGCGAAGGCAAUCCCCUGGGCCUGUACUGACGCUCAUGCACGAAAGCGUGGGGAGCAAACAGGAUUAGAUACCCCGGUAGUCCCUGUCUCUUAUAC
This 301-nucleotide ribosomal RNA is filed under the name uncultured bacterium. RNAcentral's name for it is "partial 16S ribosomal RNA". It matches the Rfam family "Bacterial small subunit ribosomal RNA", at positions 509 to 807 of the family's 1533-position model. The record is from RNAcentral.